RNAcentral lists this ribosomal RNA (375 nucleotides) under uncultured bacterium. Its description in RNAcentral is "bacterial SSU rRNA". It matches the Rfam family "Bacterial small subunit ribosomal RNA", at positions 28 to 399 of the family's 1533-position model. The record is from RNAcentral.
GAUGAACGCUAGCGGCAGGCUUAAUACAUGCAAGUCGUGGGGCAGCAGGGGUAGCAAUACCCGCUGGCGACCGGCAAACGGGUGCGGAACACGUACGCAACCUUCCUUUAACUGGAGAAUAGCCCCCUCGAAAGAGGGAUUAAUACUCCGUAACAUAUUGAUAAGGCAUCUUAUUACUAUUAUAGCUCCGGCGGUUAAAGAUGGGCGUGCGCCUGAUUAGGUAGUUGGCGGGGUAACGGCCCACCAAGCCUGCGAUCAGUAACUGGUGUGAGAGCACGACCAGUCACACGGGCACUGAGACACGGGCCCGACUCCUACGGGAGGCAGCAGUAAGGAAUAUUGGUCAAUGGACGAAAGUCUGAACCAGCCAUGCCG